RNAcentral lists this ribosomal RNA (276 nucleotides) under Salmonella enterica subsp. enterica serovar Typhimurium. RNAcentral's name for it is "partial 16S ribosomal RNA". It matches the Rfam family "Bacterial small subunit ribosomal RNA", at positions 672 to 945 of the family's 1533-position model. The record is from RNAcentral. Lineage: Bacteria; Pseudomonadati; Pseudomonadota; Gammaproteobacteria; Enterobacterales; Enterobacteriaceae.
GGUGUAGCGGUGGAAUGCGCAGAUAUCAGGAGGAACACCGAUGGCGAAGGCAGGUCUCUGGGCUGUUACUGACGCUGAGGAGCGAAAGCAUGGGGAGCGAACAGGAUUAGAUACCCUGGUAGUCCAUGCCGUAAACGUUGGGCACUAGGUGUGGGGGACAUUCCACGUUUUCCGCGCCGUAGCUAACGCAUUAAGUGCCCCGCCUGGGGAGUACGGCCGCAAGGCUAAAACUCAAAGGAAUUGACGGGGGCCCGCACAAGCGGCGGAGCAUGCGGA